AUCUACGGCCAUGCCACAUGCUCGAUCUCGAUCUCGUCUCAUCUCGGAAGCUUAAGCAGGGUCGGGCUGGUUAGUCCUUGGAUGGAAGACCACCCAGGAAGACCAGGUGCUGUAGGCG
Molecule: ribosomal RNA, 118 nt
Filed under: Pteropus alecto (black flying fox)
Lineage: Eukaryota; Metazoa; Chordata; Mammalia; Chiroptera; Pteropodidae
Source: RNAcentral